Molecule: ribosomal RNA, 254 nt
Filed under: uncultured bacterium
Lineage: Bacteria
Description: partial 16S ribosomal RNA
Rfam family: Bacterial small subunit ribosomal RNA
Source: RNAcentral
CGAAGGGGCGUAGCGUUGUUCGGAAUUACUGGGCGUAAAGCGCACGUAGGCGGGUUUGUAAGUAGAGGGUGAAAUCCCAGGGCUCAACCCUGGAACUGCCUUCUAAACUGCAAGCCUGGAGGUCAGGAGAGGCGAGUGGAAUACCGAGUGUAGAGGUGAAAUUCGUAGAUAUUCGGUGGAACACCAGUGGCGAAGGCGACUCGCUGGACUGAUACUGACGCUGAGGUGCGAAAGCGUGGGGAGCAAACAGGAUU